RNAcentral lists this long non-coding RNA (2412 nucleotides) under Anas platyrhynchos platyrhynchos (common mallard). RNAcentral's name for it is "lncRNA (ENSAPLG00000027622.1)". The record is from RNAcentral. Lineage: Eukaryota; Metazoa; Chordata; Aves; Anseriformes; Anatidae.
GCUAUUUAUUUAAAGAAGGAAAAGACUUUUCAGCGAUGUUGUUGAUCACUAGCUAUAUAACAGAGCAGAGCUGUCAAUCAUAAGUAUUCAGAAGUUGUAAGCCAAACACUAUACAAAAUAUUUUUUACCAAAACAGAAAAAUGUUAAUGUCCCAAAGUUUCGGUGUAGCUUAUCCUACCUCUGGCUACAAACGCAGACUAGAUGACUUUCAGCACUUCCUCUGGUGCAAGAAUUUAUUUAACUUGAUAUUUACCUUCUAGUUUUCAGCCUUCAUGUUUAAUACUUUUGAGUUUUCCCAUCGGCAUAAUUAUCGCUAGGUGUUGCUAGGACUGAAAGCUGAGCCUGCUCGUGUAAAUCCACUAUCUAUGACCUUGAGAGAAGAGCGCCAGCUGCAGCGAGGCUGCACUGCCCCGAUCCUCAGAGCAGAGGCUCUGUGCUCCUCGGCUUUCCUGGCAGGACAAUGUUGGUGCAGCUCCCUGGGCUGUGCUGAAGCACAUCCCUUGAUGUGACACUGAUGGGCGAGGGGCUGUGUCAAGCUGGAAGCAGGACCGCAGGUGCAGCUGUGUGAGCAGCUGACUGAUCGCUCUCAUGCCGAGGGCACAAAGGUGUUGCUGCUCUUCCCUGUGGCUCUUGGUGGAGAUGGACGAACAGUGGAAGUAGGAGCCUUGCAAACGAAGGACAGUGAAUGGAGAUGGAGAACGCUUCGGGACAAAGGCCAGUGACACUCCUGGAAAUAUGCGGUGUGCUCACCUGGUAUCCGGCAGUGAAAACGAGCAACAUGAGGAUGCCACUGGACAUGGAAGGUAACUCUGUCUGGGAAUGUGCAGCUGCCACUGCUCUUGACCCCUCCCAAUUGCCACUGAGGCAGCGGAGUCUGGCCGCCGAGUAUCUACCACCAGCACUUCAUGCUGCUCACAAGCAAGGACCUGAUCAAUGUGCUGCUGGAAUCCAUGACUUUGCUCAGAGUUCAUGCCAUGAGUCAGAAGCAGCACCAGAAUUUCAGAAACAACAGUAGUAUUUCAGCCAGCCCGGUAGAGAAAGAUCUCAGCAGUACCUGCUCUUCCAAAUUUAUUCAUUGUUUACUUACCCGACACUAGGGUGUCCUCUUUGCAGACAGUUUGAAUGGACAUCAGGGUGUUUUUCCUGCUAUGAUAGAAAAGGUGGCCUUUUCUCCAAGCUGACUGGAACAUCCCUGUGCCUCCUCCUUGCUUCAGACUGGAAAACAGAGCUGCCAAAGUGGUGUUGCAGGGUGACCACAGAGCGACUGGCAUUUGUACUUUCCUUUCUUAAUUCCUCUUGGCUUGCUUUCCCAGUUUCUCACAUCAUAUUGAGGGACCUCAAAAGCUCUGCUCACGAAAGAAGCAUAGUCCAAUUUCAUGAACUAAUACACUAUUUCUAAUGAGGGGAACCUGAAGAGACAACAAUCUUUUUACUGAUUUACUCUUUAAAGUAUUAUCCCUCAGAAAUGGUUGACCAUUAACAUACUACAAAGAAUGACAGGGUUCAGUUUGCCUCAAUUCUGCAGCAUGUGUUUGGAUUUAGAUACCUGGAGCUUAUCUCAAUGGUAGGCAGCAACCCAGCCAUCGGCUUUGUCUCAUUGACACAGAGCACCUUAGGUGCCAGCAUUCACUGCCACUCCUUGAAGGGACCAUCUCACAGCUAAGGACACGGGAGAGCUGAAGACAGAGGAGCAGGACUGCAGUUACAUGCCACCUCCCACCUCUCCUUGAUUUAAACCUCAGCUGUGAGUACUCAGGACAUCUGCAAGGCAGGCCUUACAAACGGCACCAUUAAAGAAUGAACGCACGGAGUUUGCACCCACUAGUGAAAAAAACCUUGACUUAAGUGGGCUAAUUUGCCCACGUUAAGCAGGAGCUGAGAUGCCAAGGAAUUUCUUUAUCCUUCCUGGUUUUGUCCUCUAGUAAGUAUCAGAGGCCCUUUCUAGCCACACUCUCUCUUGUUGGCAGGGAGUUUCAGCAAGCCUGCUGAAGGGCUCAGACAUUUAGUGCCCUCCAAAAUCAAACACCUCCAUGCACACACCGUGCUUGGCUGGACUGCUCUAAGGUGUUUCCUGAAGCCUGGCAGCGUGCUGAGCAGGCUGAGCCCAGCAGGCACCAGGCACAUCUGCCAGCCUGUCCUAGGGGAUCUAGCCAGCAGGCUGCCAGCUGUUCGUGGCUCUGCUCAUUGUGCUUUAAACGACGUAAUCUGAAGUUUCCAAUUCAAAAAAGAUUAAUGAAAAAAAAGGAUUUAGCAGCAUUUUAUCAGCCAGACUGCUGAACUGGACCUCAAGUGUGAUUAGUGACUGGAAAAACUGAUGUACAACACCUCACUAUUCCAGGCUGAGUCCCACUGAAUUAGAGAAAACAUUUGUCAUCUGUGAAAAAUAAACCUGGUUUAUCUUCUGGUUAAUCA